This 1295-nucleotide long non-coding RNA is filed under the name Macaca mulatta (Rhesus monkey). RNAcentral's name for it is "lncRNA (ENSMMUG00000059991.1)". Lineage: Eukaryota; Metazoa; Chordata; Mammalia; Primates; Cercopithecidae. The record is from RNAcentral.
AUGCUGCUGGACCUUCCAGCCCAUUGGCUGCUGCCUCAGUCUCCCUCCACCGUCCUGGGGCCACCCCGACCUUCCCUCAAGUUGCCCCUAGGUGGCUCGGAAGCAGAUGUGCAGCCAGCACCCAGUGGGGCUGCGCCGAGGUGGGAGCCAUCCCGCGAGGCGCGGGCAUGGGCAGAGCUGGCGGGUGGCUGGGAAGCCAUUUUCAUCGAGUGCCCGGUUCCCGGAGCGGGGGACUGGGGUUGCUCCCUCUGGAAUCCAGGGGGGGUCACCCGCCUGGGCCGCCGGCUCGCAGGGAUCCAGCCGAAGCCUGUCGCCCCCAGAGCACCGGUUCUUAUCUCGGGAACCCCAGGCCGGAGAAGAAAAUUUUGUGCCUUGAAUAAUGAAUCCCCCUGGAGCCCACUGUACCUGUACUUCUCUUUAGUGUCCACUGAGAAUAACGUGUUCGACAUUCAAGUGACAACACUGGAAAGCAUUUCAAAGCCCUGGAGCCCCAGAACGCUGCACACCCCGACGACUCUUCUGCCUGCCCUCUCUUUGGCUUCCAAAUGCAGCGAGCUCUUUCUUUACUGAAAAUGUGUUCAUCUUUCACACAAAUCCUGGAUGUACCACAGAAAAACAGCACAGAUAGGUAGGCUCUUAUUUCUGAAGCUGAGCUGGUCCCGCCCAGCAUAAAGCUUUAAAGCUGCUAAGUCUCCAGGAUAUUAUCCAGUUUUUAAAAAUGGAAAAACUGGGGACAGGGAGGCUCAAUGUCUUGUCCCAGGCCCAAACAGGCUUUUCUGGAGUCACUAUCAUUCAACUGGCUCAGGCUGGAUUUUCAUAAGAAAAGAUAAUAAACAUUUACUAAUAUAAUAAAAUAGACAUCGUUUAAGUCACAAGCAGUAGCCAAACCUUUGGGACAUUCUAUGGUGCUGAACAACUAUUUCAUAGAGGCUUUAAUGUUAAGGAGCAAGUGCAGAAAAAAAUCUAAAAAUUUCAGUAAGAUGAGAAAAUGAAAGCUUUACAAAACGGUAGAAGAAAGUAGUCUCUCAUGCCUAAACUUCUAAAUAAGUUUUUUGUUUGUUUGUUUUGGGUUUUUAGUUGAGCAUUCUUUCUGCUUUGAAAUAGACUCAGAAGCCUUUUUAAAAACAAGUCACUUUUGGCCAAAUAUAUUAAGGUAUAACCAGAUGAUACUAUAGAUCCAUUUAGAAAAAAGAAAGUUCUUUACUGACAUGAAAGGAUUUCUAAGACAUAUUCGUAAGUAAAAAAAGCAAAUAUAUUACUAUUUGUAUAGGAUGAAAAAAUAAAAGAAACACGCA